RNAcentral lists this long non-coding RNA (925 nucleotides) under Ictidomys tridecemlineatus (thirteen-lined ground squirrel). RNAcentral's name for it is "lncRNA (ENSSTOG00000032574.1)". The record is from RNAcentral. Lineage: Eukaryota; Metazoa; Chordata; Mammalia; Rodentia; Sciuridae.
GCGAGCCCCGCGCAGGGAUCCUGCCGGCUCGGUGUAACGCGUGUGGGUGCCUGGCGUGGCCAAGUAGGCGCCUGGUGUGCUGGCGGCUAGGUGGCUAGCUGUCCCCUGAACACGCUGGGCUGCCCCAAGUCCCCGCGCGCCGCCUGGCGGGUUCCUUCCUGGGAGGCGCCGCCGAGGCCCGAGAGGGCGGCGGUUCGCUGGCGAGUGGGCAGGAGGAGGCGGGGUAGACGAAGAAUUUGGGCUGCCUUCUGCUUUUCGGGACUGGGAAUCACACGUCUUACUCACCCGCUCAGCUGAGAAAGAAAUGACCAUGCCAGGUAAAGAGAAGAAAGGAAAAAGCCACAGAAAGUCUCGUGGGAAGAAGCAGAAGAAGCCCGAGGUGGACAUCCUCAGCCCCGCGGCCAUGCUGAACCUCUACUACAUCGCACACAACGUGGCCGACUGCCUGCAUCUGCGAGGCUUCCGCUGGCCAGGGGCUCCCAAAGGGAAAAAAGGGAAGAACAAGACUUAAGUGAUAGAGUUCUCCGCGCUCAGAGAACAACUUGGGGAAGAGAAAUCAAAUAACGCGACCCUGCAGGCAAAAUAGACUUUACUGAAGACACCUUGAAAUGCAAGCUCAGGGUGCUUUCUAUGGUAAAUAAUGGUGAAGAAAUGCCUUUUACUUCCUCAGUUAAGCUAGGCAUGGUUAGCCACUUUGGAUUUUCAGAAGUUAAGGGGAAAAACUUGAACAAUUCUUACACCAUGUGAUGGGAUUGAUAGUCCUUUAAAAAUUUAUUAUCAUAAUUCUGGGCCAGAAAUUAAACCUUGCUCUCAAAAGGCAGUUCCAGUUUGCACGAGUUAUUUUCUUUUGCUAAAAGGGGUCUGUUAUUUAGAGAAGAUACGGCAAAAAAAGCACAGGCUUUACAUUAUAAUCACCCCUUUCUUG